UAGACUUCAAAUCAGGUGGGACUACCCGCUGAACUUAAGCAUAUCAAUAAGCGGAGGAAAAGAAAAUAACUAUGAUUCCCUUAGUAACGGCGAGUGAACAGGGAAAAGCCCAAAUUUGUAAUCUGGCAUCUUUUACAGGUGUCCG
Molecule: ribosomal RNA, 145 nt
Filed under: Melampsora sp. Mel E
Lineage: Eukaryota; Fungi; Basidiomycota; Pucciniomycetes; Pucciniales; Melampsoraceae
Also listed under: 1 other name
Description: partial 28S ribosomal RNA
Rfam family: Eukaryotic large subunit ribosomal RNA
Source: RNAcentral